GACGUAGGUGGCGAACGUUAUCCGGAAUUAUUGGGCGUAAAGGAUGCGUAGAUGGUGUAGUAAGUUAUCGGUGGCAAAUCGAGGCUCAACCUCGUGGAAGUCGGUAAUACUGCUAUGCUAGAGGAUAGGAGAGGUUAACGGAACUCCCUGUGGAGCGGUGAAAUGCGUAGAUAUAGGGAAGAACACCAAUCAGGCGAAGGCAGUUAACUAUUCUAUUCCUGACAUUGAGGCAUGAAAGCGUGGGGAGCAAACCGG
Molecule: ribosomal RNA, 255 nt
Filed under: uncultured bacterium
Lineage: Bacteria
Description: partial 16S ribosomal RNA
Rfam family: Bacterial small subunit ribosomal RNA
Source: RNAcentral